UUAUUUAAGGACCAGAUUCCUGUGUCUAUGAAGCUGUAAAGUCCCAGUGAAGGAACUUUUCCUAAUUCCCACAUUGCCUCUGGCCCUCAUCAUAUGGCACUGAAUAUUUUGCCUGUCAUGUACCUGUCUGUAUUACCUGUUGUUACUCAGACUGACAGCAUGGAUUCAGUGGUGGAACAAGUCCCAAGCUCAGCUGGUGAAACACAAGAUUUCUGACAUGAGCCCAACCC
This 230-nucleotide long non-coding RNA is filed under the name Fukomys damarensis (Damara mole-rat). RNAcentral describes it as "lncRNA (ENSFDAG00000021748.1)". The record is from RNAcentral. Lineage: Eukaryota; Metazoa; Chordata; Mammalia; Rodentia; Bathyergidae.